Molecule: long non-coding RNA, 12696 nt
Organism: Diceros bicornis minor
Lineage: Eukaryota; Metazoa; Chordata; Mammalia; Perissodactyla; Rhinocerotidae
Exons: 6
Source: RefSeq, a predicted model, not a curated record
CGCGUAGGGUCCGAGAGGUGCAGAACGGAGCGGGGCGUCUUGCUGGAGCCAGCAGCUCGGUGGUGAGAGACCCUGAGGGGAGAAUGAAGAAAGGGGCAGCCGGCCCUGGAGGGGCACUGAGUCCCACAGGCCGCCACAGAAUGGGGACUUCAGCCGCGCUGCUUCGCUCGCCUGAGGCAGGCCCUCUGUUCGCCCCCUCGCAGCCUCUAGAUUCUUCCCUCUCGUCGUUUUCCUCGCGUCUCAGAGACUGCGCGCCCGCCCCCAUUCUGUCGCCCCUGAAGGAAGGCUCCUCCUAACGCCUCCUUUCCGUGUCUCUCAGCUUCCUUGCCUCCCCAGAAGCAACCCUCCAGCUCUGUCGUGUUUACAUCUCCCCCAAGGCUCCUUCACUCCCCCCCGAUCUAUUUCAUAAUUAUAUCCUCCUCUCCAUCACCAACACUCUCAGAAAAUUUUUACCUGCCCCUGACAGUGUGGAAAAAUGUCUCCUGAGCAACCUGGUGAGCGUCCCACACCUCACUAACUGAGUCCAGAACGUUCCUUAUCAAGAGGAUGCUGCUCCCACCUGGGAUGUAGUGACGGUCACGUGGAAAGCAGCGAGUGAAAGCGCUUUGUAAAGUGCUACAGAAAUGUGGUAUUAUCUCCAAUUUACAAAUGAGGAAACUGACACUCAGAUAGACUGAGUGAAAUGAAUGUGGAAGAAGAAUACUUUUCAAGACAAUCAGUUUUAACCCAAAGUGUGAUUCUUCUAAGCAAAAACAAAAACAAAUUAUGUACCAGAGAUGGACAAAAAACCAAAGUUUGAUAACCCUUUCAGUUGGCAAGACUGGGGGAAACAGGCACUCUCAUGCCUCAGUGUGAGAGGAAGAAGAAUCUGGUAAAAUCUACCAAACAUAUCCUUUGACCCAGCAGUUUCCCUUCUGGUAAUCCAUCCUACAGCGCCUGCCCCUGGCUCAGCGCCCGGUGCCAACAGAACACCUUUCAGGAUCCACAGCAACGCAGACAACGAGUCCAGGAUCCCGGCCUCUGCUUGGAACGGAACACAGUGUCAUGGCGGAGACGACGGCCUUUGUCUCGCUGGGUGUGAGAGCAUCCGCUGUGCUGGCUCCACUGCGGCAGAAUCAAGUUUAAAGGAAAAAGUGAUUCAAGUCAGCUUUGUGCCUCUUUGGUGUGGAAGACCCCCAAACCCCAAGUAGCCGAGUCCCUGGGUCCGAGGAACGGCUCAUAGUUGGAGCAGCCUAGGCUGUAAUCCUGGCACUUGCGCCUUCGGUUGCCGCUUGCUCUUCGCUCCUGGGGGUCUGGAUAAUCUCCCUUGGCUUUACCGCACUGUCUGGCCCGCAUACAGGGCCCCGGUAACAUAUACCCGCUGCUGCUAUCACACGAAACUGUGGCGUUGCCCCUGAAUGGAUGGCACUGUGCCAACUCUUCUGCCAUCCGCCCUUGCAGCUUUUUUCUUUCCUCUCUCCCUCCCCUUCUUCUCCUCCUCCUCCCGUCGACUUGACGUUAAUUAACACACGGGUUAAUUGAUUUUAAAAGCCGAAGAAUUACAGUUAACUUUUCCCACAGGGUACAGACGCCAGCCGCUUGGCACACUCUGCCUUUCGCACUGGUGCAGGGGGGCAGGGAAAGCCCGCAGCAAAACUAGCAACUGCUGAGGGAACGUUGCCUGCUUAUUGGAGUAGAGCCGAUAGAAGUCGACGUGGCACUGCCUCAUCCUUACAGUAUAUAGAGCCAUUCGAUAUUUUGUUAAAUAAUCAAAGCACUACCCUGUCUUUCUUCUUCUCCCUUCCUUGUUCAAAACAGGAAAACCCUUCAGAAGUUCUUAAGGGGGGAAAAAAUUUCCUCCCCCAGACUAUUUAUCUCAUCCAUAAUAUGCUUUUUGCCAAUAAUAAGAAAAUACAUGAUGCCUUUUUUUUUUAAAUUAUAAGAAGGAAAGCUACUCUUUCCCUACAUCUCACAGGCAAAGAAGAUUUUUUUAAAAGAGAAAGUUCGGUAAAGUUUCUUUCUUUAUAUCUCAGUGUUUGUUUUGUUUCUAUUCCUCUUGACUCAGAUGGGUUAUUUACUGUGAAGGAUUUCAGUAAGAAAGUAGGUACAUUGUAAUAAGAACAACAUUCAUAUGAAAGCUCUUUGUUUUUUUGUUUGUAUGUGUGUAGAUUUUUGCUUUCUGUCCCCUUGACCCCAAGCCCCUGUAGAAAAUGAAAGCAACUGAUAUUGUAGUUGGGAAGGAGACAGGCAAGGCUGGGAACUUGAUGCUUUCACCUUUUCAUGCUUUCAUUUUAUUUCAUUUUGUUUUUUAAAAGCACGCAGCAAGUGAAGCGACAAGAGGAAUCCAUUAUGCAAAUCAUGUCACUUUGCAUAAUGUCUCAUGACUGGAAUAUGCAAAUGAGCUGUAUAAUUUAUGAGUGCCAGUGUCUGUCUAAAAGUGUUUCACAUAAUUUACAAAGUGAGCCUGAGAGACAUGGGGAAGGCAGCUCUUCCAACUCCAUUGCCAGGAAAGCUUUAUAUUUUCCUACAAGUGCUCCCUAGUAAUAUUGUCAAUGCUAUUUAAAAGGAAUUAAGAUUCCAAAUGUUCAUGAAAGAUGAAGAUUUUCCUCUCACUCCCCUCUCUCCAAUUCUUUGCCUAAAAGUUUACAAGAAACUAUUAGACCCUAAAGCAUUCAUUUUUAGAUUCAAUUUGGAAAACAAAAGUUAUUUGAGCCAAACUUGCUUUUUGUAUAUGGAUUUUCCUUUCUAAAGCAAGGAAUGUCUUAGAGAAACAGACACGUUAUCCAUUUGUCUGGAUCCAUGAAGGCAGAAAAAUGGAAUUUCUCACUUUGGUUGGUUUUGUGUGCCAUGCUGUACAACAUUUUAUAAAUUAUAGUCUCUUGAAUGUAUUAGAUAUAUAGUAUGGAAGACUGAUGCAUUGAAUAUUCUUAUGAAGGUAUAAUUCUGCUUUCAGAGAAGUCUUCAAAAGAGAAAUGCCACUCAAGAAAAACCAGGUUUUAUUCAAGUCAGCUUAGUUGGCUACUCCAUGUCUCAUUUUGGUAACUUUAUUGAGUAAAUGAUUCUGAAUCUUUUGAGACGUUAUAACAUCUUUGAUAAUCUGACCUAAUUUGGCUUUAUAUUUUACAUUUCAGUCAUAAGUUCUGUGAAAGAGAGGUACAGGGUGCCAUGAAAAUAUAUACCAGGAGAACCUAAAAUUUGGAGAGCAUGUCAGAAAAGGCUUCCUGAAGAGAGUUAACUCAAAGUCAAUUCUGAAAGUUGAAGAGAAAUUAGACAAAAAGAGAGAGAAAGUAUUUUACCUGUGGAGAGUAUGUUCCGUAAAUCCUGAGGCAAGAAAAGAUUGUGGCUGCUUUUGGAAUAUUCACAAAGAUAGACCACUUUCUGGUCCAUAAAACAAAACAAAACAAAAAGCUCAACAAAUUUAGAAGUAUUGGAAUCAGACAAAAUAUAUUCUCCGACCACAAACAAACUGAACUAAAAAUCAGUAACAGAGAGAUAUCUGGAGAAUCCCAAAUUUUUGGAAAUUAAACAUAUUUCUAAAUAACAUAUGGGUCAAAGAUGCAGUCACCGGGAAAUUAGAAAAUGUUUUGAAUUGAAUAAAAAUGAAAACACAUUGCAAUAUUUGUGAGAUGCAACUAAAGAAGUGCUUACAGAGAAAUAAGCUUUAAUGCCUUAUUUUAGAAACAAAAAAUGUUUUGAAUCAAUAAUCUAAGUAUCUUAAGAAAACAAAUUAAACUCAAAACAAGAAGAAGGAAGGAAAUAAUAAAGAUAAGAGCAUAAACCAAUGAAAUUGAAAACAGUGGGAAAAAUCAAUAUACCCAAAAGGUGGUUCUUUGCAAAGAAUACAAAAAUUGAUAAACAUCUAGCCAGACUGAACAAGAAAAAAAGUGCAAAGACACAAAUUAUCAAUACCAAGAAUGAAAAGAGGGGCUAUCACUAAAGAUCUGACAGAUAUUAAAUGGAUAAUAAGAGAUAAGUAAAUAACAACUUUGUCAAUAAAUUUGAUAACCUAAAUGAAAUAGAAAAAUUCUUUGAAAGACAAACUACCAAAAUUCAUUCACAAAGAAAUAACUUGAAUAGCUUUAUUUCGAUAAAAGAAAUUGUAGUUAAAAACACCUUCCUAUGAAGAAAACGCCCAGCGCAGAUGGCUUCACUGGCAAGUUCUGCUAACAUUUAAGGAAGAAAUCAUGCCAGUCCUAAACAAUCUCUUUUAGGAAAUAGAAAAAGAAGAAAUGUUUUCCAACUCAUUUUAUGAGGUCAGCAUACUCUGAUGCCAAAACCAGACAAAGACAAUAUAAGAGCAGGAACUACAGACCACAACGCUCGUAAACGUAAACACAAAAAUCCUUAACAAAAUAUUAGCAAAUUGAGUUGAAUAAUAUAUAAAAAGAAUGAUAUAUCAUGACCAAAUCAGGUUGAUUCUAAGAAUGAAAGGUUGGUUCAACAUUCUAAAAUCUAUUUGAUUCACUUUAUCACCAGAUUUUGUUUUUAAUUAUCAAUUCAAUGGAUGUAGGAAAAAUAUGAGCCACAAUAAUCAAAACAGUGUGAUAAACUUAAAGAUUAGUGGAAUAGAAUAGAGACCCUGUAAAUAGACACACAAUUUUCUGGCAAAGAGCCAAAGACAAUCCAGUGGCGAGAGAAUAGUCUUUUCAAUACAUGGUGCCAUAACCAAAUAGAUAAAUACCUUUACCCAUACUUUACUAUAUACAAAUAAUAAUUUUAAAUGGGUAUUAAAACAAAACAAAAACCUAACACUGUAAAAGUUCUUGAAGAAAACAUAAAAUAAAACUUUGUGACCUUGGGCUAGGAAAAAGAUUUUAUAGAUGGGGAGAAAGAAACCUGAACUAUGAAUGAAAAAGGUAAGUUGGACUUUAGCAAACUUGAAAAUUUUUGCUAUUUGAAUGACACUGUUAAAUAAGUGAAAAAAUAAGCUAUAGACUGGGACAAAAUAUUUGCAACCCAUAAUGAGGAGAAAAAUUAAUCAAUUUAAACCAAACCAAAAAUGACACAAAAGAUAGAAUUAGUAUUUGGAGACAUUAAAACAGUUAUCACAACUGAAUUCCAUAUAUCCAAAAAGUUAGAAGAAAUCAUGAACAUAUUAAAUAGAGACAUGAAAGAUAAAAAAAUACUCUGAUUGAAUUUGUGGAGACUAAAACUACCAUGUCUGAGAUGAAGAAUACCAUAUCAGGAAGGGAUUGACAGAUUAGAUAUUUCAGAAGAAAAGAUCAGUCAACUUUAAGAUGUAGAAAUAGAAACUAUCCAAAAUGACACAUAGAAAUAAAAAUAACGAACAGAGCAUCAGUGACUUGUGGGACAACUUAAUGUGUCCUAAUAUAUGUGUAAUUGAAGCCCUUAAAGGACAGAUAGAAUGGGAACAAAAAAAUAUAUUCAAAGAAAUAGCUGAAAUUUUUUCCAGUUUGGUGAAAACUAUAAACUAAUAAGUCCAACUAUCUCAAUGAACCCCUAGCACAAGAAACAUGAAUAAAACUAUCCUAAGGCACUUCCUAAAUGGUUAAAAUCAGUAAAAAGCAGAAUGUUUUAAAAGCAGCUGGAGAAAAGACACAUUAUUUACAGACAAGCAAAGAUAAAAAUGACAGCAGAUUUCUCAUUGGAAUCAAUGCAAGCCAUAAGACAAUGGAGAAACAUCUUUAAAGUAUUGAAAGAAAAAAAAAUAGUUAAACUGAAAUUCUAUAAACAGCAAAAAUAUCUUUCAAAAGCAAAGGUGAAACGCAAACUUUUUCAGAUGUACAAAAGCUGAAAGAAUUCAUCAUUAGCAGACCUGCAGUAUAAAAAAUGUUAGGAGAAACUCUUCAGACAAAUGGAAAAUUAUGCCACAUGAUAAAAAUCCUUUGAAAUGGUAAUUAUGUUAGUAUAAUUUUAAAACUUUUAUUACUUAAAUAUAUUUAAAGGUAAUUGACUAUUGAAAGCAAAAAUAAUAACAAUGUAUUGUUUUUAUAACAUGUAAAGGUAAAAUCUAUGACAAUAGCACAAAAGCUAUUGAAGAAAAUGGAGAAAUGAAAGAAUCCUAAGUUUCUUAUAUUAUACAUGAAGUGGUAUAAUAUCACUUGAAGAUAGACUAUGAUAAGUUAAAGUCGUACACUGUAAACUCUAAAAAAAAGCUAAAAUGACACAACAAAGAGUUAUAGUUAAUAAGCUAACAAAAGAGAGAAAAUGGAAUAAUAAAAAGUGCCCAAUUAAUCCAAAACAAAUAGCAAGGUAGACUUAAAAGUCAUCUUCAAUAAUUACAUUAAAUGUAAAUGGCCUAAAUACCCUAAUUAAAAGGUAGAGAUUGUCAGAUUGCAUAGGAAACAGCAAGACCCAAAUAUAUGCUGGCUACGACAAAACCACUUUAAAUAUAAAUAUUUAAAUGUAAAUAGUUUAAAAGUUAAAGGAGGGGAAUAGAUAUACCAUAUUAACACUAAUCAACUGAAAGCUGGAGUGCGUAUAUUAAUAUAAAACAGUGUAUUUCAGAGCUCAUAGAACCAGAUCCCAUAAAGAUGAAGUCAGCCACUAUUGCAUUCUCUUGCUGUCUAUGGCAACAAUUGGAUCCAAGCUUCUCUUUCAAUUCAUGGAUUCUGGAUCUGGGAACUGUCUCUGGUCUGGAAACUGAGCAAGGGAUUAUGACGUUUCAUUGAAGUGGCUGACAUCAUCUUUCUGCUCAUCCAAUCUUGAUCUCUUUUGAAUAUAGGUUAUUUUUAUAAAACACAUUUGUUGACUGCCCAUCUGUCUUGCCUCUAGUAACAUCAAGUUCUCUGAGCUAUUUACAUAAAUCCCUGUGGGUCAGGGACCCCCUGGUUGCCACUUGAAACUUGCUGCCUAUCAUAGUACUUAUUUCCAUCACUCGCCUGAUAUUUAAGUGCUGCCACCUAAUCUCUGCUAUUCGUGGAUCAUAUCAUCCACAUUUAUAGAAGACAGUCCAUUCCUGUAAUACCAUCACCUUCAAGGUCCCCACCUACAGAGAACAGUCACUACUAAACUACUCAAUGAUGCUAGUAAAUGAAGCAUCUUCCAAAUCCUUUCAGGGAACAUACAAGCCAAUUUGGUCUUAUGUAACAUGUCCAUUCCAGCAUAUCCACUUCUCUGAGCUUUUUAUUAUUCCUGAAUUGUUUAUGACACCAGUUAUCAUAUCUCUAUUUAAUGUGGGCCACCACUCUUUUCAGGUUUCCAAGAACCAUUCUAUCAUCAUAUUAAAAACUAACUUCAAGGGCCCUUGUCAGGGCAUUAAGUCUGAGUCAUGGAAAAGUUUUCCCAUUAGGCAGCUUUAUAUUCCACUUCCUUGGCCCAGCACCCUCAGGAUAUACUCUGGGCAUAUUCUGCCAGUUCCUCCGGUACUGAUUAGCCAGGUGCUGCCACUCUCUGUUGGCAUUAAAUCUCUCUCUUCCCUUAGCAGGCCUGAGAUUUCCCCGGUGGGGCCAUGCUGAGAUUAGACACUAGUUAUUGCUCUGGUGCCCAGGAGGUGAAGUGAAGUCAGGUUCUGAGAAAGGAAAACAUUAUAAGGCACCUGCCUCAUUUGAAGCCUCUGCCUGGUCAUCAAGCAUCAUGGAGCCCCUGUCCUCUAACAAGUGGAAGUGAAUCCCUUCCACUGGCCAAAGGUUUGAGGGUAAUCCAGGUGUUCAAAAUUCUCAACUGCAUCAACCCUAAUAUCCCCAUCCCAAGGCUCAGGAUCCCACUUCUCUAUCAGGGCCCUGCCUUUGGCAUAGAAUAUUUGACUAGAAUGAGAAAUUAGCCUUCUCUUUAGCUCUGCCACUUUUAUAAUUAAGUCACAUUCCUAAUCUUAAAUCAUAUUUGGCCUUUGAUUUUUAUUUUUUGUUUUAAACUGGUGCUUAAUUAACCUAAGUCUCUCAUUCUCUUUCUUCAAUAAGUCAGUUGUGCUCAGCAAUAACCACCUAGUCCCACAGUCCUAAUACAGCCAUGCGCUACAUAAUGAUGUUUUGGUCAAUGACAGACUGCAUAUACUAUGGUGAUCCCAUAAAAUUAUAAUGGAGCUGAAAAUUUCCUGUUGCCUAGUGACAUCAUAGCCAUCAUGAUGUCAUAGCUGUUGUAACAUCAUAGCAAGAGAAAAGGAAACUGCAGGAGAAGAAAAAGAACUCCCAAGAAAAUUCACAGUGAAGGGUUUAGAAGAAGCUUUUGCAGACCUAAAAAAGCUCCUUAAAAAGUUUGAAAACAUGGACCCCAACAUUGGAAGGUUUUCAUUAAUGGAGAGGAAUAUUCAUGGUGCAUUAUCUGCUUACAAGCAAAUUUAUGAUGAAAAAGGAAACCAACCAAACCAUCAUGGACAUAUUUCUGAAAAGAGUGACACCUCCUCAAGAAGAGCCUCUGGCACGUCCUUCAGAAGGUUUUCCAGAAGAAGUCUUUGUUAUCAUAGAUGACAGCUCCAUGUAUGUUACUGCUCCUGAAGACCCUCCAGUGGGACAAGAUGUGGAGGUAGAAGACAGUGAUAUUGAUGAUCCUGACCCUUUUUAGGCCUGGGCUAAUGUCUGUCUGUGUCUUAGUUUUUAAUUAAAAAGUUUAAAAAUUUAAAAAAAUAAAUAAAUUUUAAAAGAGCAAAAAGCUUAUAGAAUAAGGAUAUAAAGAAAGAAAAGAUGUUUGUACAGCUGUACAGUGUGUUAUACACAUUGGGUUUUAAGCUAAGUGUUAUUACAAAAGAGUCAAAAAGUUAAAAAAAAUUAAAAAUUAUAAAGUAAAAAAGUUACAGUAAGCUAAGGUUAAUUUAUUAUUGAAGAAAUAAAAAUAAUUUUUAUAAAUUCAGUGUUGUCUAAGUGUACAGUGUUACAAAGUCUACAGUAGUGUAUAGUAGUGUCCUAGGCCAUCACAUUCACUUACCACUCACUCACUGACUCACCCAAAGCAACUUCCAGUCCUACAAGCUCCAUUCAUGGUAAGUGCCCUGUACGGUAUACCAUUUUUUAUCUUUUAUACUAUAUUUUUACUCUACCUUUUCUAUGUUUAGAUACACAAAUACUUACCAUUAUAUUAGAAUUGCCUACAUAUUCAGUACAGUAACGUGCCAUAUAGGUUUAUACAUAGGAGCAAUAAGGUAUAUUGUAUAAUCUAGGUGUGUAGUAGGCUAUACCAUCUAGGUUUGUGUAAGUACACUCUAUGUUGUUCACACAGUGACAAAAUCACCUGAUACAUUUCUCAGAACUCAUCAUUAAGUGAUGCAUGACUGUACUUAACUCUCUUCAUCAUUGUUCUGAAAUGCCAGGGAAAUUACACAGGCUGGUACAUUUUUUUCCACCUCUAUCACAUCCCCAUUCACCAAAGGUGAAAGACUUAACAUUUGCACUAUUACAGCCUGCCAGACUCUAGGACCUUUCCUAGACUAUGCUUCUAACUAUCAGUCCUGGUAGCAACUGUCCUAGGUAGAGUUUCCUAAAGGCAGAGCCUUUACUGGGCAAAGCCCCAAUAGCAUCUACAACAAUAGCCAAGUAGCAAAUAAACAUACAAGUGUGUUUAUGCUCAUUAGUUAUGAAAAUGGAAAUUAAAACCCAGUGACAAACCACAUGUUCCAUAUACUUUUGAAAAAAAAUGUAUCUUCUGCAGUUGUCAGGUAUAGGGCUCUAAUAGGUCCAGUUGAUGGUUGUUCAUCUCUAUAUCUUCUGAUUUGCUAUCUGCUUGUUCUAUCAGUUACUGAGGAAGGAGUGUUAAAAUCUUCAACUAUGAGUGAGUACUUUUUUAUUUGUCUUUAUUUCUGUCAUUUUUGUUUCAUGUAUUUUGAAGUUUUGUUAUUAGAUGCAUACACAUUUAGGACUGCAAUGCAUUCUUAGUGAAUUGAACUUUUUAUCAUGGUGAAAUAUUUUUCUUGUCUCUGGCAAUAUAGUCGUUCCUCAGUAUCCAUGGGGGAUUGGUUCCAGGACCUCUGUAGAUACCAAAAUUUGGAAAUACUCAAGUCUCUUAUAUAAAACGGCAUAGUAUUUGCACAUAACCUACAUACAUCCUCACGUAUAUUUUAACUCACCUCUAGAUUACUUUUAAUACCUAAUACAAUUUAAAUGCUAUGUAAAUAGUUGUCAUACUGUAUUUUUUAGGGAAUAAUGACAAGAAAAGCAAGUGUACAUGUUCAGUACGGAUGCAACCAUCGUAGGCCUUUCCAUCCAUGGUUGGUUGAAUCUGAGGAUAUGGAACCCGUGGAUAUGGAGAGCCGACUGUACUCCUUGUUUUGAAGUUUACUUUGUGUGACAUUAAUUGAUUGAUCCUGUUUCCAUAAUAUAUCUUGUUUCACUAAAUUAUAGUUUUUAGUAAUGCAUACUUAGGUGGUAAAUUUGUUAGGAGAAGCAAGUAACUAGAUAACCUAAAAAUUAAAGCCUGGGUUAUUUGAGGAGGCGGGGCGUUGAGCAGGGAAGAUGUAAUCGGAACAUAGCACUUGGGAUGUUUUUCUGUUGCUAGCAAGAUUCUAUGUUUUUAUUUGGAUGGUGGUAACACAGGUGUCUGCUUAAUUCACUAGGCGUAUAAUUAUAUUUGGUGCACUUUUACAUGUUUUAUAGUUCACAAUGAAAAAAUUCAGAAGCAAAAAAAUGUUAAUUAUGUCAUGCAUACAAAGAAUAUUUACAAAAAAUUAACCACAAGCCUUGUCACAAAGGAAAUCUCACCAAAUGUCAAAAAAGUGAUAUUCAGAUUGUGGUUUCUCAGCAACACACAGUCAUAUUCAAAAUCAACCAUAAGAUGUAGUUUUUAAAACUCCGUAUGAAUAGAAUACAUAAUGCAAGUAAUGGAUUAUCACCCAUGGCAUUAAAUACAUAUCCAUGAAGCUACACUGAUAUAAAUAGAUUGGGGCAAAAGGACAACUCUUCCUUAUAGUGAAAUUCCAAUAAAUAAAUGUAGAAAGAAUAAUGGAAAUAGAAAAUCACCAUUUGGCAAAUAUUAUAGAAACAAUUAUUGCAGGCAAUAAUCAUCCAUGGAUGCUAAAAUUGCUGGAUGGAGGUAUGACAAAAAAGAGACUAUUUAUCUUUUACUUCUUUUAUCCCAUCUCUAAGUAUCUCCUCUGCGAGAUAUGAAUUAAUUACAAAGGGAAAAAUAAUAACUUUAGCGUGAGGAAUCCUGGCAGACACCACCUUAACUAGUUUUCAGAGUUAAUAUCAAGCAGUAUUGGGACAUCUGGAUUUCAGGUACCUCCUGAUAUGAUGCAGUCUCACUGUAUCAUCUUGGGCUUAGCAUCACCUUGGCAAAAAUGCAUAAUCUCAGUCUAAUUAUGAGAAAAUUUCAGACAAAGUAAAAUUGAGGGACAUUCUACAAAAUAACUAAUUAACAUUCUUCAAAAGCGUCAAGAUUAUGGAAAAACAAGGAAAGACUGAGAAACUGUCACAGAUUGGUGAAGACUAAGGAGAUGUGAUGACUAAAGGCAACCUCUUCCUCCUAUACAGACACUUUUUAAGAGUUUCUCCUUGCAAUAAAGCCAUGAUCACUACUUUUUAUAUCUAGUAGGAGAGUCUCUAUAAAUAUACCAAAGGCUUCUCACAUACACAAGUGCCCUUCAACAUUGUGACAAAGACACCUUUUUUAGUUUUGUUUUGUUUUAUCUAUUACUGCCUCUUCAUAGGCCAUAAGUCUGUUGGCAUGUCUUUUCCACUUAAUCAGAGGUGGUAAUCAGCCAGCUCAUUGAGGGGGACAUCUUGCUGGAGUAACAGAUGACACAGCUACAACAGAGGUACAAGAAAUCCAUGAUGACCAUCUAUCGCAAACAACUUAGUCCUUCAUUUAUAAAAUGUACAGAAAGAUCACCAGAAUAUGCGGAAAAUCAGGAAAAUGAAUACGAAAGAGUAAAAUGAGAAAAAUGACUUAUUGACCCCAGAGGAAAUGUAGAUGAUGCAAGAAACACAAAACUUUUAAAACUUUGGUUUGAGUCCUUAGAGAGAUUCACCAAAAGAGAGACUGAGAGAGAAUAACAGGCUUCCACGCAAAGGAGAAAUCACAGCAGGAAAGAAUUCUUAGAGGUUAAAAGGCAUGACAGUCAAAACAGAGAAUUCAAUAGAAUUGAUAAAAUGACAUCUUGCCAACUGAAUUAGUAAUAUGAAAGGAAAUUUCCCGUAAUAUGGAAAAAAAAGACAUGAACAGAGAAGAGUUGAGAUGUAGUUAUCAACGUUUAUCUCGUUGUUAGUUUCCUUUAUUUUAGAGCAUUCAUUUAGGCUUUCUUAGUCAUUUCUAUUUGGAAAAGGCAUCUCAUACUCUUUUUCCACUAUCACCCUAGAAGUCAUAAACCUAUAAACAUAAACAAUAUCCAAAGUGUUUAAACUGAGAUAUAAAAUAGCUUUUCUAUAGCCAUCAAUUCUGUGUGUUUACAUUGUUCACAUUGCCUUUUUCCAAAGCUGAAUGUUUAUAUUUACUUAAAAAGUAACAAAUUAUUGUUGUAAGAUAAUAAGCCUUAUAGAUAUGUGAAAAGAUAAAGUAUGCCCCAUCUCUACCAUCCUCACUGCACCUCUCCAGCGGUAACCAUUGCUGACAGCUUUCAUAUAUUCUUUAAGACUUUUCCUAUGCAUGCACAACUAUGUAUACAAAAUGCUGAACAAAAAUGGGGUCAUAAUUAUUUUCCGACAUCUUGCAUUUUUUACUCAAUAAUAAAGCAUUGGAAUCUUUUGUCUAUGUCUACAUAUCUGUCUCAUUUUUAACAACUACAUAGAAUUCCACACUAUGAAUACAUCAUAGUUUAAAUAACCAUUUUUCAGUUGAACCUUGUCCCCUGUAAUCAAUAAUUACAAUUGUGUCUUCAGGUUUGAUGCACAUCAA